This is an RNA transcript of Lepidothrix coronata (blue-crowned manakin), 5050 nucleotides long. RefSeq lists it as uncharacterized. NCBI's taxonomy places the organism in Eukaryota, Metazoa, Chordata, Aves, Passeriformes, Pipridae. The record is from RefSeq and is a predicted model, not a curated record. The transcript is spliced from 9 exons.
UUAUAACCUAUGAUCACAGAAAGUCCUGAUCCUCACGUUUCUCUGCUGUCACCUGUGGGCUCCUCCAGAGCCGUGAAGAAGGGGGAACUCCAGCCCCACCAUGACAAGACCGGGUCUUCCGUGCAUGGCGACUCCACCCAUGUGAGAGCUCUCUUAUGUGAGUCCUCAGCAGCACAUUGUGCUGUCUGUGGUCUAUGGACACUGACUGCCAUCUAAGCAACACCACAGCUCCCUCCUCUCCCCCUAGACGCCACUGUCUUAGAGCCUCCAUGUGCAUUUGCUAUGACAUACAUCAGUGUUGAUGAGAGACAGGAACACUGCCGGGUGAUCUCGAGCUGCCAAAAUAAUCAGCUCUGUGCACAACAUGGCUUAAAGGAUUUUUCGGUUAGCAGCAUGCAUCCACUAAAGAGCCUAGACACUCACAUUUUUUCUGGGGACUUCCACACUCUAGACUACUGCCACACAGGCAAGGCACCUUUGGCCGGUUCUGUGGAAAACCGGAUGUAUCGGAGUGUGGAGAACCUUCACUGGGCAACUGUUGCCGACUCUGGGCUGUAUUCUCACUGCCGGAGCCUGGAUAACGAGAUCGUCUUUCGCUAUAGAGGCACCAGUCAGUGGACAGAAGGCUGUGUGGAUGUGGCCCCAGUACAGAGCACGUCGGACUCUCCGAGAAACCUUUCUCUCCGUGCUAAACAGACGUCUCGAUCGGCACAGAACGUGCUCCUCCCUCCCUUUGCCAAAGUGCCUCAGUGGCUCUUCCCUUCUGCAGAGGAAAGAGCCCUACAUGGGGAUGCCAGAAAAGAGCUGAAGGAGAAGCUGAGGCUGCACAGCAGUAAGGUGGCAGAGCCCUGUAAGCCAGUGCGUCCCCAGGUGGCCCUGCCUGACCUGAUGGCCCGGGAGUUCUUUGAGUGCCAGGUGUGUCAGCAGUGCAAGAACGGUUGUGCUGUCAACUACUGCACGGUGUUGGUGGAACACACUGCCCUCAGGCACGGCCUCACGGGGAGACAGGGACUGUGCUUUGCACACAGGAUCAUCAGUCCAGAAGACAUCAAGCAGGAGGCUCAGAGGAGGCUUCAGCUCCGAAGGCAGAAUAGCUCCCCCAGUUUGCCCCUUCAGCACACAGGGGAAAGCCAUGAGAUGGGCAAAUCCAGAACAGCAGAAACCCUAGAACAAUACAGUGGGGAAACAGAUGGCAAAGUCACAUUGGGACAGAGCAAGAAAGGUUACUGUAAAGGGAGGCUCUACAUACCCACCUUUGAGGAAUUUAAGCAGAUGAGAAGAAAGGAAGGAAAUUCAUCUACCAGCAGCAGUGAGACAACGGAGUGCUUGAAUAAGGGUCUGCCUGCAAACCAGACACUGGAGGAGGAAAAGAAUGUCUGUCCAGAAGCUUUGGGGACCAAAGCUGUCAAUGAAUCUGCUGUCACAGCGGAGGAUGAUGACAAUGUAUUCCAUGAAAACCACACCUCUGCUGGCUUUUCCCAGUAUCCAGCCACAUGGGAUGGUUUCAGGAUGAGCAGUCCUGAGCUGAAGGACAAAACCUUCCAUACCUCUAGCCCAGAUACAUCGCCAGUCCCUAUUUGCUCCAGUCCAAUUCCACGAUCACCUUUACAGGCAGUAGCAAUACACAGAACUGGGCAGGAGAUCUUGAGUGAUGAGCAGCAGAAAGGAGAGACAAGAAAAUUAAAUGAUGUCCUCCACCUUACAGGGCAGUCCCUGGCUUCUGAAGCCCAGUCCUCUUGCUGUUCAUCGCUGCUGUUAGAAGCUACAGACUUAUCCAGCUAUGGAGCUAAGCUACAAAAAAUGAAGGAUGAAUUCAUAGGUUCAGCCUUGGAACUUAUUAAGAAAAGCUGCAAUGCUGAGACUGCUGCCAAAUCCCCCUCUAAGGGACAGUGUGAUCUGAGGGAAGCUGAUCUCCCACCUUCGGAGGACAGCCAGCAGCCCACAGCGAUGUCCGUGGCAACAGAGACCUGGGAGAACAAGCCAAGCAAUGAGACAGCCAGCGCCACUCCACCUGCAGGGAAUACCCCCAGUCCUGGCUGUCGCCGAUCCAGCUCCGACAUAGUCCAUGAGAGCACGGAUGGUGCCAAGGCCCAGCGGGAGUGCCGGCUGCGGCCACACUUCAGUGACCCUAUGCCGACAGACUCGGUGAAGAGGAAGCAGCUGGAGCUGAAGAUCGCGGCUGCAGCGCGGCAGCACGCGCAGAAACGCCGGCAGGAGCGAGACUAUGGUCCAGUGGUAGCAAAAGCCAAUCUCGGCCAUGGUGGCAGCUUUGAUGAGACUCGCCGUGCCCUACGUGGCUCCCUCCGCUCCAGGCACCAUUGGAGCAAUGUCAGCAGCCUGAGCACAGACAGUGGGAUUGUUGGCGUGAAUGAUGCCCGGGACGACCUGGAUCCCAGCGAGGGCACCCGGACCAAGUCAGCAGAUGUGGAGAGGGCAGAUAGUGGCAUUGGCCAAAUGCCAGCCAGGAAGUGGAGGAACAGGGCAUCUGAAACACUGAGCUCCCUGCAGGCCUGGGAAGCCCAUCGUCCCUGCACUGAUUGUGGAGAAAGGGACCUGCCGGUGGAGACAGAUGUUCAGAACUGCAACCAGAGGCGGGCUGACCUCUGCGAGAAGUGCCGCAAGCGCAGGACGGAGCGCAAGGAGUCUGUGCUGGAGUUUGUCAACACAGAGGCCAGCUAUGGAGAGGACCUGCGCAUCAUUAAAGAGGAGUUCUACCUCCCCAUGCAGGCGGCCGGGUUGCUGAGCCAGGAGCAGCUCCAGGGCAUCUUCAGCAACAUCCAGGAGCUCAUUGACCUCAAUGAGAACUUCCUGGAGAUACUUCAGGAAGAGAUCGAUCAGGCCUUUGACCAGGGGGAUGAUGACCUGAUGACUGUGUGCAUCGGAGAAGUAUUCCUAGAGUUUGUCAACAUGCUGCCAGCCUUCCAGACCUACUGCCUUCAGCAGUCCUCCUCCGUGAACAUGCUCAACGCACUGGAGAAGGAAAAGGAGUUGCUCAGAAUAUUCCUCAAUGUCUCCCAGAACGACAACACAGCACUGCGGCGGAUGAACUUGAGGUCCUUCCUGAUGGCCCCUCUGCAAAGAGUCACCAAGUACCCACUGCUGCUCAGCAGAAUCAUCAAGGCCACCACCGAGUACCACCCGGAUCACGGCAGCCUGCGGGAGGCCAAGAGCCGCAUCGAGUCCCACCUAGAGCACAUCAACAUGAAAACCAAGCAGGAGGGGAACACAUGGACCCUCCGAUCCUUUCGCCAGGACAGCAAGAAGAAGAGGGAAGUCAUUAAUAUUGAGAUGAGAGAAACUGCCCUCAAAACUGUUGGUUGGCUGCGGGAGGAAACGCGAUUUGUGAUGGAGGGGUCUCUGCAGCUGGCCCAGCCCCCCGAUGGCCAGUGGGUGAAAAAAGGCAGCAAGACCCUGAAGUUCCAGAACAUGCAGGUUCUCCUCCUGGUGAACAUGAAGCGUGUGUCUGAGUCCAGCCUGGAAGCAGCCGAGCCAGGGCCUGUGAAGGAUGCUGUGCUGGUACUCAUCAGGGACAAAAAUAACGGGAAGUUCCAUUUGCUCAGGGAGCCCUUGAGGCUGAGUAAUUGCAUUGUCUCUACUGAUCCAGACUGUGACGACACUUUUGAACUCAUUGAGAUCAGGAGGGAGGCGUUUGUGUUCCGGGACAGCGACCGGGCACGGACUCACCACUGGUUCAGGCAGAUCAGGAGGUACUCCAGGGAGCUGGGCUCCUGGAAGAAGCGGCGGAACGCGCUGCCCAACAUCAUGAUCAGCACUCCUCACACCAGGCCCUGAGUCCUGCACGGGCUGACUUGGCUUGACCAAUGUCAUGUGCAGAGACCAUCAAGAGCCUCAGUGGCUUGAACUUGCUGUGCUCCGUGGACAACACAGGGAGGAGUCUGACCCCCAAAGACUCUUAACAGCACUGGAAGCACCACAGCCUAAUGCUGGUCUCCAGCCUCAGGACUCACAACCAGUUUGUGACUCAUGUACAUACAGAGAUGGUCUCCCCUCGAGGAGCAGAUCACUAGAGGAAAAUACUGUUUAACUUGUUGAUAUUGCACUGCAGGAGAAUGAUGUAUGAUGCUUGCCAUUGCAUGGAUCGUGUUGAAAGCCAGUCUUGAUGAGAGAGGUUUCCACUACUGACUGUAUUUCAUCAGCAUUAGGCAUUUUAUUUUACAGGAGGAUUCAUACAAGCACAUUUGUGUAUUUCUCCAGAGAUCAACCAGCAUCAGUGGGCACCACAUGAAGGCAGACAGAAGCCACAUUCAUAAAGGUAGCCCUAGUCUUGUAACGUCACCACUGACACAAUCCCUGAGCAGGCCUCAAACUGUGCCCAGUGCUUUGUCCUCUGGCCACAGCUGCCAGGGCUUGUUACACUGCUCCAGGCACUGAGGCAGAGACCAGCAGUGAGACAUGAUGUGACUCAUUGUAUUUUCUCUUCAUCUGCUGUAUUUUCUCUUCAUCUGCACCAUCCAGCAUUCUGGUGCUUCAUUUUGUUCUAGAGGAAAUGGAAAGAUUUGCAUCAUCUGGAGGGUGCUCAAGACGUGAGGGUGGCUGCACAUAGCUGAGCACUGUAGUGAGCAAUAGCUGUCAAAAUGCUUGUCAGGGCAGCAGCCUGGCUUCCUCAGAGAUGGAUGCCUGAGCAGAGCAGCUGCUGGAGGAAAAUUUCUCUUAUGCUGUCAUGACAGAUCUGCAUCUAUGAACCAUCAAGCCCCAUUCACCUCACACGUAAAAAGCAACAGCUUGUAGCACCUUUGUCUUCCCUGCCAGGAUCACAAUGGCCCAGCCAUCUUCUGUUCAUUACCUCCGGGGCAGCUUUGACAAGGCAAGGCAUAGGUACAAGUAAGUGUAACAGAUUAAUUUAUCCAAACAGCAAGUGGCUUUCACAGCCACACAAAGCUGCUGCUUUCUGGAAAGUUUUCAAUUACUUUCCAGCACAGUGAUUUUCUCCACAUCAAUUCAUGCUCGAAACCAGCUGUGGACUGUUUGUACAGUCAUAUCUUUCAAUCAAGAUACCUUCAGCCAGCCUGGCUGUUCAGAAAGGUUAGAG